GGCGUAAGGGCUCGCAGGCGGUUUCUUAAGUCUGAUGUGAAAGCCCCCGGCUCAACCGGGGAGGGUCAUUGGAAACUGGGGAACUUGAGUGCAGAAGAGGAGAGUGGAAUUCCACGUGUAGCGGUGAAAUGCGUAGAGAUGUGGAGGAACACCAGUGGCGAAGGCGACUCUCUGGUCUGUAACUGACGCUGAGGAGCGAAAGCGUGGGGAGCGAACAGGAUUAGAUACCCUGGUAGUCCACGCCGUAAACGAUGAGUGCUAAGUGUUAGGGGGUUUCCGCCCCUUAGUGCUGCAGCUAACGCAUUAAGCACUCCGCCUGGGGAGUACGGUCGCAAGACUGAAACUCAAAGGAAUUGACGGGGGCCCGCACAAGCGGUGGAGCAUGUGGUUUAAUUCGAAGCAACGCGAAGAACCUUACCAGGUCUUGACAUCCUCUGACAAUCCUAGAGAUAGGACGUCCCCUUCGGGGGCAGAGUGACAGGUGGUGCAUGGUUGUCGUCAGCUCGUGUCGUGAGAUGUUGGGUUAAGUCCCGCAACGAGCGCAACCCUUGAUCUUAGUUGCCAGCAUUCAGUUGGGCACUCUAAGGUGACUGCCGGUGACAAACCGGAGGAAGGUGGGGAUGACGUCAAAUCAUCAUGCCCCUUAUGACCUGGGCUACACACGUGCUACAAUGGACAGAACAAAGGGCAGCGAAACCGCGAGGUUAAGCCAAUCCCACAAAUCUGUUCUCAGUUCGGAUCGCAGUCUGCAACUCGACUGCGUGAAGCUGGAAUCGCUAGUAAUCGCGGAUCAGCAUGCC
Molecule: ribosomal RNA, 800 nt
Filed under: Bacillus subtilis
Lineage: Bacteria; Bacillati; Bacillota; Bacilli; Caryophanales; Bacillaceae
Description: bacterial SSU rRNA
Rfam family: Bacterial small subunit ribosomal RNA
Source: RNAcentral